This 491-nucleotide ribosomal RNA is filed under the name uncultured bacterium. Its description in RNAcentral is "partial 16S ribosomal RNA". It matches the Rfam family "Bacterial small subunit ribosomal RNA", at positions 29 to 506 of the family's 1533-position model. The record is from RNAcentral.
AGUGAACGCUGGCGGUAGGCCUAACACAUGCAAGUCGAACGGCAGCACAGUAAGAGCUUGCUCUUACGGGUGGCGAGUGGCGGACGGGUGAGGAAUACAUCGGAAUCUACUUUUUCGUGGGGGAUAACGUAGGGAAACUUACGCUAAUACCGCAUACGACCUACGGGUGAAAGCAGGGGAUCUUCGGACCUUGCGCGAUUGAAUGAGCCGAUGUCGGAUUAGCUAGUUGGCGGGGUAAAGGCCCACCAAGGCGACGAUCCGUAGCUGGUCUGAGAGGAUGAUCAGCCACACUGGAACUGAGACACGGUCCAGACUCCUACGGGAGGCAGCGGUGGGGAAUAUUGAACAAUGGGCGCAAGCCUGAUCCAGCCAUACGGCGGGGGUGAAGAAGGCCUUCGGGUUGUAAAGCCCUUUUGUUGGGAAAGAAAUCCAGCCGGCUAAUACCUGGUUGGGAGGACGGUACCCAAAGAAUAAGCACCGGCUAACUUCGU